RNAcentral lists this long non-coding RNA (504 nucleotides) under Homo sapiens (human). RNAcentral's name for it is "HSALNT0340526". Lineage: Eukaryota; Metazoa; Chordata; Mammalia; Primates; Hominidae. The record is from RNAcentral.
GAGACCUAGGCAUGAUUAGAGAGUUGGGACUUUCAGCCCCAUCCUGUAGUCUCCUGGGAGGGGAGAAAGGCUGAAGGUAGAGUUGACACCUAUGGGCAUUAAUGUAAUCAAUCAUGCCUAUGUAAUGAAGCCUCCAUAAAAACCCAAAACGACUGGGUUUGGGGAGCUUCCACAUAGGUGAACACAUGGAGGUGCCUGGAGGAGACAGAGAGGACAUGAAAUUGCUUCAUGUGGGACGGGGUUUCACUCUUGUUGCACAGGCUGGAGUGCAAUGGUGUGAUCUCAGGCUACCGCAACCUCCGCCUCCCUGGUUCAAGCGAUUCUCCUGCGUCAGCCUCCGGAGUAGCUGGGAUUACAAGCAUGUGCCACCACGCCCAGCUAAUUUUGUAGUUUUGGUAGAGACAGGGUUUCCCCAUGUUGGUCAGGCUGGUCUCGAACUCCUGACCUCAGGUGAUCCUCCCACCUUGGCCUCCCAAAGUGCUGGGAUUACAGGUGUGAGCCACC